AUUGGACGCUGGCGGCAUGCCUUACACAUGCAAGUCGAACGGUAACAGGUCUUCGGAUGCUGACGAGUGGCGAACGGGUGAGUAAUACAUCGGAACGUGCCCGAUCGUGGGGGAUAACGAAGCGAAAGCUUUGCUAAUACCGCAUAAGAUCUACGGAUGAAAGCAGGGGACCGCAAGGCCUUGCGCGAACGGAGCGGCCGAUGGCAGAUUAGGUAGUUGGUGGGAUAAAAGCUUACCAAGCCGACGAUCUGUAGCUGGUCUGAGAGGACGACCAGCCACACUGGGACUGAGACACGGCCCAGACUCCUACGGGAGGCAGCAGUGGGGAAUUUUGGACAAUGGGCGAAAGCCUGAUCCAGCCAUGCCGCGUGCAGGAUGAAGGCCUUCGGGUUGUAAACUGCUUUUGUACGGAACGAAAAGACUCUGGUUAAUACCUGGGGUCCAUGACGGUACCGUAAGAAUAAGCACCGGCUAACUACGUG
Molecule: ribosomal RNA, 482 nt
Filed under: uncultured bacterium
Lineage: Bacteria
Description: partial 16S ribosomal RNA
Rfam family: Bacterial small subunit ribosomal RNA
Source: RNAcentral